AGAGUGUGAUCCUGGCUCAGAACGAACGUUGGCGGCGUGGAUUAGGCAGUGCAAGUCGAACGAAUCCCUUGGGGGUAACUCUGAGGGGGAAGUGGCGGUAAGGGGUUGAGUAAGGCGACGGCAACCAAACCCCAUGGGUUGGGGUAGAGCCCGCGGGGAAACUGCGGGGUAAAUUCCCAGCGAUGAUGUUCGCGUCGGGCAUCCGGUUCCAACCCAAAUUUCCGCCCCCUGGGAACGGCCCUUCUUGUUUUAAGGUCUUGGCCGGGGUAUUGGCCCCCCAAGCCUCUGAUCCCUACCGGGCGUGCGAGCGUGGCCCCGGCACACUGGGACUGAGACACUGCCCAGACUCCUACGGGAGGCUGCAGUCGAGAAUCUUCGGCAAUGGGCGCAAGCCUGACCGAGCGACGCCGCGUGGAGGAUGACCGCCUCGGGAUUGUACA
This 440-nucleotide ribosomal RNA is filed under the name uncultured bacterium. Its description in RNAcentral is "bacterial SSU rRNA". It matches the Rfam family "Bacterial small subunit ribosomal RNA", at positions 8 to 429 of the family's 1533-position model. The record is from RNAcentral.